GACGAAGGUGGCAAGCGUUGUUCGGAAUCACUGGGCAUAAAGCGCGCGUAGGCGGCUGUGUAAGUCAGGUGUGAAAGCCCUCGGCUCAACCGAGGAACUGCGCCUGAUACUGCACGGCUUGAGGUCCGGAGGGGAGAGUGGAAUUCCCGGUGGAGCGGUGAAAUGCGUAGAGAUCGGGAAGAACGCCGGCGGCGAAAGCGACUCUCUGGUCGGAAUCUGACGCUGAGGCGCGAAAGCUAGGGGAGCAAACGGG
This 253-nucleotide ribosomal RNA is filed under the name uncultured bacterium. RNAcentral's name for it is "partial 16S ribosomal RNA". It matches the Rfam family "Bacterial small subunit ribosomal RNA", at positions 524 to 776 of the family's 1533-position model. The record is from RNAcentral.